ACAGUGGCUAAGACUGGAUAGGAAGAGGAAGGUUAUCCGACUGUCAUUAAAAGACCUUCUUCGCAGGCUGUGCAUGGAGAGGGGCAUGCCCCUUUUUUUUUUGUGGGGGGGUGAAGGCUUACCCCGAUUAUGAUGUGUAGCUGGACUGAGACGUUGAACAGCCACAUUGGGACUGCGACACGGCCCAAACUCCUACGGGAGGCAGCAGUAGGGCAUUUUCGGCAAUGGAGGAUACUCUGACCGAGCGACGCCGCGUGAACGAUGAAGUAUUUCGGUAUGUAAAGUUCUUUUAUUGGAGAAGAAAAAAUAGUGGAAAAACUAUCUUGACGUUAUUCAAUGAAUAAGCCCCGGCUAACUAUGUGCCAGCAGCCGCGGUAAGACAUAGGGGGCGAGCGUUAUCCGGAAUUAUUGGGCGUAAAGGGUGCGUAGGCGGUUAGAUAAGUCUAUAAUUUAAUUUCAGUGCUUAACGCUGUCUUGUUAUAGAAACUGUCUUGACUAGAGUGAGAUAGAGGCAAGCGGAAUUCCAUGUGUAGCGGUAAAAUGUGUAAAUAUAUGGAGGAACACCAGAAGCGUAGGCGGCUUGCUGGGUCUUUACUGACGCUGAGGCACGAAAGCGUGGGGAGCAAACAGGAUUAGAUACCCUGGUAGUCCACGCUGUAAACGAUGAGUACUAAGUGUCGGGGAAACUCGGUACUGAAGUUAACACAUUAAGUACUCCGCCUGAGUAGUACGUACGCAAGUAUGAAACUUAAAGGAAUUGACGGGACUCCGCACAAGCGGUGGAUCAUGUUGUUUAAUUCGAAGAUACACGAAAAACCUUACCAGGUCUUGACAUACUCUGCAAAGCUAUAGAAAUAUAGUGGAGGUUAUCAGGGAUACAGGUGGUGCAUGGUUGUCGUCAGUUCGUGUCGUGAGAUGUUAGGUUAAGUCCUAAAACGAACGCAAAACCCCUGUCGUUAGUUGCCAGCACGUAAUGGUGGGGACUUUAGCGAGACUGCCAAUUAAACAUUGGAGGAAGGUGGGGAUAACGUCAAAUCAUCAUGCCCCUUAAUGAUCUGGGCUACAAACGUGGAUACAUGGCUAUUACAAAGAGUAGCCUGAACGCGAGUUUUAGGCCAAUCUCCAAAAAGAGUCUCAGUACGGAUUGAAGUCUGCAACUCGACUUCAUGAAGCUGGAAUCGCUAGUAAUCGCGAAUCAGCAUGUCGCGGUGAAUACGUUCUCGGGGUUUGUACACACCGCCCGUCA
This 1246-nucleotide ribosomal RNA is filed under the name 'Phoenix dactylifera' phytoplasma. Its description in RNAcentral is "bacterial SSU rRNA". It matches the Rfam family "Bacterial small subunit ribosomal RNA", at positions 156 to 1399 of the family's 1533-position model. The record is from RNAcentral. Lineage: Bacteria; Bacillati; Mycoplasmatota; Mollicutes; Acholeplasmatales; Acholeplasmataceae.